UGGGGAAUAUUGGACAAUGGGGGCAACCCUGAUCCAGCGAUGCCGCGUGUGUGAAGAAGGCCUGCGGGUUGUAAAGCACUUUAGUAGGGAAGGAAAAGUAGAGCAAGAAUACGGUUCUACUGUGACGUUACCCUAAGAAUAAGCACCGGCAAACUCUGUGCCAGCAGCCGCGGUAAUACAGAGGGUGCAAGCGUUAAUCGGAAUCACUUGGGCGUAAAGGGUGCGUAGGUGGAUAAUUAAGUUUCGUGUGAAAUCCCUGGGCUCAACCUGGGAACUGCACGGGAUACUGGUUGUCUAGAGUACAGGAGAGGUGAGUGGAAUUUCCGGUGUAGCGGUGAAAUGCGUAGAGAUCGGAAGGAACACCUGUGGCGAAGGCGGCUCACUGGCCUGAUACUGACAC
RNAcentral lists this ribosomal RNA (400 nucleotides) under uncultured bacterium. RNAcentral describes it as "bacterial SSU rRNA". It matches the Rfam family "Bacterial small subunit ribosomal RNA", at positions 355 to 746 of the family's 1533-position model. The record is from RNAcentral.